This 467-nucleotide ribosomal RNA is filed under the name uncultured bacterium. RNAcentral describes it as "partial 16S ribosomal RNA". It matches the Rfam family "Bacterial small subunit ribosomal RNA", at positions 28 to 506 of the family's 1533-position model. The record is from RNAcentral.
GACGAACGCUGGCGGCGUGCUUAACACAUGCAAGUCGAACGGAAAGGCCCUGCUUUUGUGGGGUGCUCGAGUGGCGAACGGGUGAGUAACACGUGAGUAACCUUCCCUUGACUUUGGGAUAACUUCAGGAAACUGGGGCUAAUACCGGAUAGGAGCUCCUGCUGCAUGGUGGGGGUUGGAAAGUUUCGGCGGUUGGGGAUGGACUCGCGGCUUAUCAGCUUGUUGGUGGGGUAGUGGCUUACCAAGGCUUUGACGGGUAGCCGGCCUGAGAGGGUGACCGGCCACAUUGGGACGGAGAUACGGCCCAGACUCCUACGGGAGGCAACAGUGGGGAAUAUUGCACAAUGGGCGGAAGCCUGAUGCAGCAACGCCGCGUGCGGGAUGACGGCCUUCGGGUUGUAAACCGCUUUCGCCUGUGACGAAGCGUGAGUGACGGUAAUGGGUAAAGAAGCACCGGCUAACUACGU